CCUACGGGUGGCAGCAGUAGGGAAUAUUGCUCAAUGGGGGAAACCCUGAAGCAGCAACGCCGCGUGGAGGAUGAAGGUUUUCGGAUUGUUAACUCCUUUUGUUAGAGAAGAUAAUGACGGUAUCUAACGAAUAAGCACCGGCUAAGUCCGAGCCAGCAGCCGCGGCAAUACGGAGGGUGCAAGCGUUAUUCGGAAUUACUGGGCGUAAAGCGCGUGUAGGCGGGAUAGCAAGUCAGAUGUGAAAUCCUAUGGCUUAACCAUAGAACUGCAUUUGAAACUGGUAUUCUAGAGUAGGAGAGAGGUAGGUGGAAUUCGUGGUGUAGCGGUAAAAUCCAUAGAGAUCAAGAGGAAUACUCAUUGCGAAGGCGACCUGCUAGAACAUAACUGACGCUGAUGCGCGAAAGCGUGGGGAGCGAACAGGAUUAGAUACCCUAGUAGUC
This 440-nucleotide ribosomal RNA is filed under the name uncultured bacterium. RNAcentral's name for it is "partial 16S ribosomal RNA". It matches the Rfam family "Bacterial small subunit ribosomal RNA", at positions 338 to 795 of the family's 1533-position model. The record is from RNAcentral.